RNAcentral lists this non-coding RNA (193 nucleotides) under Lachnospiraceae bacterium. RNAcentral's name for it is "6S RNA". It matches the Rfam family "6S / SsrS RNA". Rfam says of the family: E. coli 6S RNA was the first non coding RNA to be sequenced, but its function was unknown until recently. It consists of 184 nucleotides that fold into an extended hairpin structure with a large single-stranded internal bulge. The 6S RNA specifically associates with RNA polymerase holoenzyme containing the sigma70 specificity factor. Lineage: Bacteria; Bacillati; Bacillota; Clostridia; Lachnospirales; Lachnospiraceae. The record is from RNAcentral.
AAUAACCUGAAAUGCUCGAUCAUUCCUAUUAUUUUGAACCUACAGUUACUUGAAAAGGGAUUCCUAUAUUGUCUGAUGGAUGUCAGGCCUCCGGAUGAAAAUCUAUGCAGGGGAAGGCAGAAGUCAUGAUUGCGGUUACCCACCUGGCGUUUGCUAGGAGUCAAAAGAUAGGAACCGGCAUUUCGGCAAACAA